AAAUUAGUGACAUCGGAAAUAAAGGAAUAACAGAGUUUCUUCAAUUAUACAAUUAUUUAGACAAACUUUUGAUAAAUUGGUUAAGAAAAACAUUGAGAAGGCACAAAUCUUAAAAGAAGUUACAACUUCAGGUAGACUUGAGAUGUUUGAAAUACAACAAUAGCUAAAAUAAAAAUAUCGAAACACUUUGUACCAGUGACUUUUCUGAGUAUUUAAUGCCCUGAAUGAUGGCUCUAGCAGAUAAGUCUCACUGCUGUUUCUCUUUAUAAAACAGAAACUGGAAUCAGGUUUUAGCCUAACAGUUAAGAGACCCCCAUUCCACAUCGGAAUGCCUGGGUUCAAUGCCCAGCUCCAACUUCUUUUUUUUUUUUUUUUUUCAGAGUUUAGGACCUUUAAUUUGUCCUAAAGUCACUGAAGCAAAAAUCAUGAUAAAACAUUCUGUUUUCCUUUACAAGCCCCCAACGGGAAAAAAACCCAACUAUUUGUAGGAAUCGUUCGACGGCUCUGUCCGGGCGAGGAUAGUGACGGACCGGGAGACGGGAUCUUCCAAAGGGUUUGGCUUCGUAGACUUCAACAGUGAGGAGGACGCCAAAGCCGCCAAGGAGGCCAUGGAGGAUGGGGAGAUUGAUGGCAACAAAGUCACUUUGGACUGGGCCAAGCCGAAGGGUGAAGGUGGCUUUGGGGGCCGUGGCGGAGGCAGAGGCGGCUUUGGAGGCCGAGGUGGUGGCAGAGGAGGAGGCGGAGACCACAAGCCACAAGGAAAGAAGACGAAGUUUGAAUAAUUUCUUCUGUCCCUGUCUUUCCCUCUUCCAUUUGAAAGAAAGGACUCUGGGGUUUUUACUCUGUUAACCUGCACAGUGACAGAGCCUUCUGAGGACAUUCCAAGACAGUGUGCAGUCCUGUGGUCUGCUUGGAAGUCGUAGAGAUAACAUUUCAAGGGCGAUACCUGUCGGUUUUGACUGGAUAUUCAUAUAAACUUUUUAAAGAGAUGAGUGAUAGAGCUAACCCUAUCUGUAAGUUUUGAAUUUAUAUUGUUUCAGCCCAGCUCCAACUUCUGACUACAGCUUCUUGCUAAUGCAGACCUUGGGAUGCAGUGGUAGUGGCUCAAGUAAUUGGGUCCCUGCCACCCAUAUAGGAAACCUGGAUUGAGUGCCUGUCUCCUGGCUUUGACCUGACCCAUUCUUGCCUGUUGUAUACAUUUAACAGAUAGGAUCUCUCUCUCUCUCUCUCUCUCUCUCUCUCAAAUAAAUAAGGGAAAGAAUUAUAGACA
RNAcentral lists this long non-coding RNA (1270 nucleotides) under Oryctolagus cuniculus (rabbit). Its description in RNAcentral is "lncRNA (ENSOCUG00000034517.1)". Lineage: Eukaryota; Metazoa; Chordata; Mammalia; Lagomorpha; Leporidae. The record is from RNAcentral.